This 496-nucleotide ribosomal RNA is filed under the name uncultured bacterium. RNAcentral describes it as "partial 16S ribosomal RNA". It matches the Rfam family "Bacterial small subunit ribosomal RNA", at positions 29 to 507 of the family's 1533-position model. The record is from RNAcentral.
AUGAACGCUGGCGGCUUGCCUAAUACAUGCAAGUCGAGCGAACGGACGAGAAGCUUGCUUCUCUGAUGUUAGCGGCGGACGGGUGAGUAACACGUGGAUAACCUACCUAUAAGACUGGGAUAACUUCGGGAAACCGGAGCUAAUACCGGAUAAUAUUUUGAACCGCCUGGUUCAAAAGUGAAAGACGGUCUUGCUGUCACUUAUAGAUGGAUCCGCGCUGCAUUAGCUAGUUGGUAAGGUAACGGCUUACCAAGGCAACGAUGCAUAGCCGACCUGAGAGGGUGAUCGGCCACACUGGAACUGAGACACGGUCCAGACUCCUACGGGAGGCAGCAGUAGGGAAUCUUCCGCAAUGGGCGAAAGCCUGACGGAGCAACGCCGCGUGAGUGAUGAAGGUCUUCGGAUCGUAAAACUCUGUUAUUAGGGAAGAACAUAUGUGUAAGUAACUGUGCACAUCUUGACGGUACCUAAUCAGAAAGCCACGGCUAACUACGUG